Molecule: ribosomal RNA, 398 nt
Filed under: uncultured bacterium
Lineage: Bacteria
Description: bacterial SSU rRNA
Rfam family: Bacterial small subunit ribosomal RNA
Source: RNAcentral
AUUGAACGCUGGCGGCAUGCCUUACACAUGCAAGUCGAACGGCAGCACGGGAGCAAUCCUGGUGGCGAGUGGCGAACGGGUGAGUAAUAUAUCGGAACGUGCCCAGUCGUGGGGAUAACGUAGCGAAAGCUACGCUAAUACCGCAUACGAUCUAUGGAUGAAAGCGGGGGAUCGCAAGACCUCGCGCGAUUGGAGCGGCCGAUAUCAGAUUAGGUAGUUGGUGAGGUAAAGGCUCACCAAGCCGACGAUCUGUAGCUGGUCUGAGAGGACGACCAGCCACACUGGGACUGAGACACGGCCCAGACUCCUACGGGAGGCAGCAGUGGGGAAUAUUGGACAAUGGGCGAAGCCUGAUCCAGCAAUGCCGCGUGAGUGAUGAAGGCCUAGGUUGUAAGCUC